RNAcentral lists this long non-coding RNA (9485 nucleotides) under Taeniopygia guttata (zebra finch). RNAcentral's name for it is "lncRNA (ENSTGUG00000028192.1)". The record is from RNAcentral. Lineage: Eukaryota; Metazoa; Chordata; Aves; Passeriformes; Estrildidae.
UUUUUUUUUUUUUUUUGGGUGUUUGCCUUUUUUGCCCUCUGCUUGUUUGUAUGUGGCAACAGCUGCUUUAGGAAGAAAAUACUGCCAUGGCCUCAGCAUCCCCUGGUUCAGCUUACUCAGCUUCUCCUCAGGGGGAUUUCUAGAGGAAGGCAAUGACUGUGGCUACAGCAGCUUCCCUUCAGCAGUGAACAAAUAAUCCUGACCUCCAGAAGAGGGGCAAAUGCACUUUGCUAGAAUGAGCUAUUUUGCACAGUCCUUGGUAAUACCUGGUCCCUGUCCUGCUGAAAGCAGGGGGAGGAGAACCAAGGCUUCCAGUCUGAUGUGUUCAUAGCCCCUAAUUCUCCAGAUCCCAUCAGGCUUGAGGGAUUUUGUGGGAUUUAAAGGGAUUUUCGUCCUUGUGAAAAUUAUAUUUCUACUAAAGUUAAAAAUGCUGUUAAGUUGUAAUGCUAGUUGUACAGGACCUCUUCUCCAUUUACAUGCUGAGUUUGUUUUCCUCUGCUCCUUAUCUGCUUAAAAUUAAGAACAUUUUGGCCAAAAAUUUUGCAAUUUUGUGGGUUUUACAAGCUGUGCCCAGAGGCAAUGUCUCUUUUCCUGAGGGAAUGGUGGAAGAUAAGAGGAUUCUCCCUCCCCCUCACACCAGAAGGGUCUCCCGGGGAGGCGAGUCUGCAGAGACUAUCAUGAAUGGAGCUCACACCGAGUGCUCUCUUUUUAUUGCUCAGGGGGCACCGUGUGGUUGUGAGAUGACAAAGGCACUGCGUUCAGGAAGCAGAAAAGCGGAAGGAAACUGUGCAAGACAGGGGGUUCCCAGCCUAUGACACUGCCUUUAAACAAGGUACUUUUGAAUGGAGGAGAAGCUUGGGAACAGGGAAACCAGGAGGGGGUUUUAGUACCUUUACUUCUUGCUAGGCCAGUAGCUGAGAUGCCAGCUGAGGCUGUGGCCAUUUCCCCACUGCAGGCAGCCCACGGCAAUCACCAGGCAGGCCCUCGCAAGCCAGCCGGGAUCCUGUGAGCUGCCAGAGGCACACAAAGCACACAGACCCGUCUUCUGCCUCCUUUGCUUCUGGACCACUUGACUUGUACCAUCUGCAGGGAGUUCUGCCAUUAUCUGCACUGCAGUGUUUGAAACAGGAUUAGGUUUGAGCCACAGGUGGAAAGAUUUCACUGCCCACCUGACCACAAGACGUAAAGGCAUAGACCAGACCAGUUUAGUCUUAUCAGAGGAAACCCCAUUAUUCACUGUUUGGCAGGGAAAAAAAAAAUAAAAAUAAGGAAACCACAUUGUUUCAGGCAGCUGCAAAGGCCUUGAUAGCUCUCUGUGCUGAGCAGAUGCAGCUAGGCUGGGCUGCAGGAGAAAGGCACUAGCACAGAAGAUCCUCAGAAAGGGAAGGACUGUGAAAAGGCCGUGCAUAUUGGUGAAGAUUUCUGCUGUAUUUACAGGAUCUGGACUCAAACUGGACCCGGAGCUUGCUGAAUGUUUGCCAGCACUCGUCUGCAAUUACCGAGCGUGGGAAUUCCCUCCGGGGUGGAGCCCGGUGCCCCUAGGUGUGGCACCAAUAAAAACAAGCCCAGGUUUUCCCUGCUUCUUUCAGGGUGGGGAAAAUUACCUUAAAAUGUUUCUCCCCGGGUCGGUAGUGGAGUAAUUAACAGCUAAGUAUUUGGCAAUUGAAGGGGACGGGAUUAGGACUAACUGUGAUUAAACAAAUUUUAAAUUGUCCUUAUUCCAAUAUUUUGUAACUUCCAGCAGAACUUCUCAUCAUUUUUGUCUCCAAAAAAGAGAACCGAUCUGUUCUCUCAGAUCCAAAAAUAUGGCCAUGCAAGGUUUUUAAUGGCAACUGAAAAUUGUUUCUAGAAGUUGCAGAGUCCACUCCAUAAUAAUGUUAAAAAUUGUUGGAAUAAUCAUAAUUUAUAAUUAAGAAGAGGACAGAAGGAAAGGUGGCAACAUUUCUCAUUGUUAACAGUGCCAGAAGGUCUUCAGAAACCAGCUGAGAUGAGAGGAUGUAGCUGUACGGGAGUUAACAAAACACCAGGCCCUUUGGACCCUCCUGCUGCCGUUGCUAUCAUUAGCGAGACUGCACCAUGCAAGGACAUUUUCAAUGAAAAUUUCAAAGCUCCAGGAGAAACUAGCGAGGCAGGUUCUGCUGCAGCUAUAUUUAAUGCUGUUCUGAGUCCUCUCCCACAGCCUGUGGCAGAAAGCUCGUGAGAGCACAGCAGUGCUUCGGUCGGCUUCCUUUCUAUGCGCUAUCCUCACAUGACCCUGCUCACUGAGGACAAGGCUGUUUCCUUCCCCAGCUCUGAAAAUCAACAGAUGUGCAAAACUGAGUGCCCAGGUUUUGAUCGCAGUUUCUGUAAACACCAGUUGUGUUAAAUGCCUUCUUUCAGCAUUUAUGUACUUGAAGAGGUUUGGUGUAUUUUAUUUAUUUAUUUUGAACAGACCUGAAGGAAAAUCGAGUCAGAACUUUAUGGAAGAGCAGAAAACAACACUCUAGCCAGCGCAACUAACCUGUCUCAGCAGCUCCACUGUAUUUGUCAAGACCAGAGGGAGGGAGCUGGAGCCUUUCACUAGCUGGAGCAAUUCCAGGCAGCAGCCACAGCUCUUGAAUACAGCCCUUUCAAACCCCAAUUUUGCGCAAACCGAAGGAAGCACACGCAUGAGGAGUUUCGGGCUUUGUGUGGCUGUAAAUGGGCGGCACCUACAGAGUCGGCCAAGGACCAUCUGGAGGAUUGCACUCCAGCGCUGGAGAGUGCCCUGAGCUAGCCGUGUGCGUGACGUUGGCAAGAAGCAAUUGUUUAUUCUCCUAGGAAACGAUCCAUCUGAAAAUGUUUGACAUACCAGCACAAUAUAACCGUAGCAACCCACAGCGUGUGGCACAACCAAAGCGAGGGCUGUGCUUUUUGCACUCUGACAGGACGAUGACGCAGCAGCCUGUGCCAGCCGGGUCCUACCCCUCCCUGUUUCCUCAAGAUCUUAUCCCUCCCCACAGCACUGCAGCCCGUGCAGCUGUGUGAGGGCCCGGCGAGCUGGCCAGGCAAAAGCUAAUCCUGCAGCGAAGGGACGAGCACUGGCCCAGGGGGGCUCCCUGAACAGGGCCAGCCUGUACUCACAGGCGACUGAAGGCUGCUGCUUCUGACUGUGCACCUGUGCCCUUGCCUCUUCACACUGAGAGGAAUGACUGGCUUCUCUUUACAAAGAAACUGUGGCUCUGCUGGUAGAUAAAUCUAGCACUGAGAGAUAAAAGAAACAGUGGGAAGGAUUCCACUGAUUGAUGAAUGGAAAAAGAUAUUUGCCUUUACAAACAAACUGUAGGUUUGCUGAUAAAUUAAUUUGGAUGUUGUAAGAUGAAAGAAACAAUGGGGAAAACCCCUAAAUUCCAUACGAAUUUAAAAGGAGGGUUAUACAUUUGAGGGAAAUCUUCAGUAUCAGGUAUUCUGGGAAGUCUGUACCUCUCAAGUACCUCAGGCAACGGGGAAGGAGAGAAGGGAAAUGCAGCCAGGAAAUUGGGAUAAAAAGGAGGCUGCAUCCUCCAAAUAUUUCAGAAACCCCAGGGGAAUGCCCAUGGCCUCUCCCUUUAUUUGAAUAUAGUAAAACAACUCCUCUGUCUCCUUUUUGGACAUAAACCUCUGAUGUUUGUGGAUUAAUUUUCCUGACAAUACCAAGAACCUAAUGUCGUGCACCUGAGCCUAGAAGCUCAAACAAGGCCCUUUGCCCACUCUGCACUUGCAGCACAUCUUGGUCUUUCCAGUGCUUUUGAAAGCUCCUUGUUCCCAGCAUGGUGGGAUUACAGCAUGGAUCUAUCCACACAUAUCAAUUCUUGUUACAAAGCACGAGUGGUCAGGUACUGUUUGGCUUGUGUUUUGAUUUGCCUCCAAAGUGGGAAAGCAUCACACACUUGUUAUUAACUGUAUUUGAAAUAAAGACUGUAACAUCAUUUUGCAAAUACACACUUCAUCAACAGAAGCAGUUUCCUAAUCAUCCUGCUGAACUCAUUGCACAUACUUUUAUUUAUCAAUAUGUCCAGCAUCAGUGAGCAGAAAAAAUCCAAUCGAUUCUCUUUUUCUCUAUUAGGAACUAAAAUCCCCUCUAGAGAUUGACCUUUGCUACUUCAUUUCUGUAAUACAGACCAUUUGUAAUGCUACUCAUCAUAAAUUUGUUUUGUUAUCUUUUUUUGACAACACAGUUCUCUUUUCCGUACCUGCAUACCAAGACAUUCACACCAUCUGGGUCUGGUUUUGUUUCUUCCCCCUCCAGACUUAUUUUGCAACCUAUCUCUAUACUGUAACUUCUGACUUUGAACCUAUGGACUAUUAACGCACUUUAUACAGCUGUCCCCUGAUGAACUACCUACACAAGAGUCCAUGUCUGUUUCCUGCGUUGGAGUGAGAAAGAUGUAGGUGUCAGUGCAAAGUAGUCAAAGUAGGAAAAAAGUUUACAAAAUUACUUCCUUGUAAGUACUCUUAUCACGCAUGGGACAUAACUAUUUUUGCACUUCCAAAGCCAAUUCUACACUACUUAGUACUUUAUUUACUUGCCUUGUUACUAGGUAAGAGAGGUUAGUAAUGGAAACUUCUCAUGGAGAUAGGAAUGGGGAACAUCAUCACCUAGUCUUCUAACAAGUAUUCAACAAACAUUUCAUGUAUGCAGACGCCCACCAGGUGAAGAAACCAGAAGCUACAGGCUAAAAAGAAUGCACUGGAGACUGAGGUUUUGGGCAACUUGCCACUACCUUGUGGCAAGUCAGGCAGCCUUCCUGGUCAUCAUUGAAAAACCUCCUUUCUCUCCCAUCCUUUCUACUAACAGCUUUGACUCCAACAAUCCUCAGCCUGCUUUCUGUUACCUUCAGGGGCAGUGAGUAACUAAGCUAACCUGGUAGCCUAUUUUCAAGGUUCACCACAUCCUUAGAUGAGAAAUGAUUUUUGGGUUUUUUUCUGUCAGCAGGCAUUUCCAAAUACUGUUAACUGAAACUAGACUAACAUUCAAUGCAAAUAAAUUUCUUCACAGUGUCCUAAAGGUAUGCAAGGCUACAAGUGGUUUAAGAGACAGAGACAGAAAAGGAAAAGAAAGAAAGGCUGCCCAUCCAACUUGUGCUAAAACCCAAUGUAAGGCAGCUGCUGUCCCCGCUGGCAGCCAACUUGCUGCAAGUUUUCUUGAUACCUUGUUGGAAGUUCUGGCUUCCUAAAUGACCUCACAGUGCACUGCCCAAAGAGACCCUGCCUAGCCAAGCAUGCCAGCCUGCAGUUAGAUUUCAUCAGGAGGUUUCUAUGGAUUAUGAAAACUAAUAUCCUAUCUUUCCCUGAGGAAAACAUUUACUUGCAAGGAGAAUUUUGACUGUCACUCCUGUCAGGUGUGUCACAAGUUUAACCAGCGCCUCCUUAGGGAUCCUGUGCUGCACUGCCCCCUGUGCUGGUACUAUUAUUGCAGGACCCGCAUCAAGGUUAAACCAGUAUCCACACUGAGCUGCUGUUCUGGAUGGAUUUAGUUGUUUUGGUUUUUUUAAACAUAAGUUUGUGUCGGUAUCAGGUUUCCUGGGUAGCCCUGCAAAUUGCUGGGCUACACAGUGGUGACAGGAACAGAAGAACUGAGAAGAAGGUGCUGUAACAGCACCCUCCCCAAAGAAACCUUCCUCAGAGGAGAUGGGAGUAGUCUUGAUGCUGCCGAAGCGAAGGCUGGAGUCACCUGCUAACAAAGGCAGACACAACUUUGGUGAGCCAGAUGCCAUCAUAUAGGUUUAAGUCAAAGACUAGCCAGGGGGAUAAUGAGCUGUGGAAACUCCCGUUCUUUGGAGAUGCAGGCUGUGGUUUCACAGUGGAUUAAAGCAGAGGCAGUGCAAUCCCAUUUCCCUCUUCCCUCUUUUACAUCUGCACUACAGCCAAUUUGGACCUAGGGUAAGACGACUGCAACAGAGAACUGAACCAAAACCCCCCAGUGUUUUCCAUCAAUUAAGUAAAGAGAAUGGCUCUUUACAAAUACAAAUGAGCACCACUGCUUGCUGAAGGAAGAGCCGCGUGAGGGGAAAACCCAGGGAGAUUGAGCACACCUGCAAUCCUCACAGCAACAUCAGAUGGCAAUGAGUGGCAUCCCUAUUCCUGCUCAUGCAAUCCUGGUCCAUGCACAUUCAUGCUAUUUUUCUCCAUCAGCCAGCAAAUUUGACUCUCUAACUUGAGAGAGGGCUGCUUUCUAGUCUAAGGAAUCUCAUAAAGGAUUAAAUACCUUAUGUUCACAACUCUUCAUGCCACUGGGUGUCACAAGAGUCAGUUUUCUGGAAGAGGAAACAACACAAUUUGCUGGCAAAAAAUUGAAGUCUUGGCUUGUGUAUACUGAUCUGCGCUGCAUACUAUGCUGCUAGAAGCUCUGAGAGAAAACUUCAUUCCAGAGGCUUGUGGUCCAAUGCAUGUAUCAGCUAAGCCACAAAGACAGGUAGGAGACAGCCAUGAAGUGCAUCUGCAGUGCCAGGAAGCUCAGCCACGGUUGGUAGGUUCUAGAAAGAACCAGGAGAAAAACGCUAUCCCCAAAAAGUGGAAGCACACACUACUUGGAAGCUGACUCAGUUCUGCCAAGCAGUUACCUGCAUUUUGACUUAGUGCUACGCUGGCUCUGUUUAUUCAUCAGGUUUAUAGUGAAGUACCUAAGAGUUACCAUAUUUAUCACUGCAGCACAGAUUUUUCAUAGAACAUGGUGACAUGGGUAAGACCAUUACUACAGAAAAGAUGAGUAUGCUAAGAAAAUCUUAGAGAAGAGCAGCAAAUACUGUGAAUAACAGGGGUUUGUCAGUCACUUAAAAAUGCAAGUUUAUCUAUAUAGAUAUACUACAAAGGACUGGUUAAAAUGUUUCAUGGGGAUUUCUAAAAUAUGAGAAGCACAAUAAACAAACAAAGUCCACACUAUUUUAAACAGCUUUGCAGAGGCAUGUGAUUAUCCUUGUUUUAGUUUGGGCAUGAGAGCUUUACUGUUCCAACAGAGCCUGAACUACAGGAUGUCUUGCAUUGUUUCCAAGUCGUUUGGGUUACAGCAAAACAACAGAACAGAACAAAUUGUUACUAGCAAGAACUGGCUGGAACAAGCUGUCACAAUUUAAAAAUUUCCCAUCUGAAAAAGCAAAAAUUCACUGAUUAUAAAAUGGAAAGCAAUGUCCCUACCAUUACUACCCUGGUAGUGUAGCUUUUUUUCCUAGAAGAAAACAUGAAUACUACUAUGGAUAUGCUUCACAAAACUUGGUCUCAUGACCCAGUAAGGCUACUGUUUUACAGAACUCAAAAUAGCAGGCUUUGCUUCUGUGCCAGGGGAAAAAAAUUGGGAAAGUUAUGUAACUUUUUUUCUUCAGAUGCUAGAAAAUGACAGACAUAGUUCUUUGAUCUUACUUCCAACAAUGUGUGCUGAACCAAAAUAUUUCUUAUUUGGUAAACCUGGACAUUGAUUUAAUGCAAAAGAGGACAGAGAAGGUAAAAAAGAAUCCUUCAUAUAAUUCCAUGUCAUUAAAAUUGUUGUGAUCUAUCUGUAUGUACUCGCCCCAUCUACCCCUGUCCUUAGACUGUCAUCAGCUUUACAGUGAAAAGACACAGCCAAACAUUGUGCAUUACACAGUAGGACAUAGUGCUCUUCAGACAUACCUGAAAUCCUACAGAAGUUCACUGCUGCCUGUUUUGGGUUGGGUUGUUGUGUGUUAAGAGAGGGUCUCGUGAGUGGAGAUUGACCACAGUGACUGUGAGGCGAUCAAGUCUAAAAUCUGUGUUGACAGGAGGAAAAGUGCCAGGAAAACUUCAGCUCUAGACAUGAGGAGAGCAGACUUCAGGCUGCUCAGGAAGCUAGUUAGUAAAUUGGGAAAAUGCCUUUGAACACCUAAAGGAUGCAGUUAUUGAUCACAGCACGGCUUUGUGAAAGUCCUGCUUAUCAAACCUGAUUUCCUCUUACGGCAAUAGGUAACUCACCUAGUUGAUCAGGGGAAGCCAGUUGAUCUAAUCCUUUUGGAUUUCAGUAAAGCUUUCAAUACUGUCUCUCACAGGAUCCUUCUGGACAAAAUGUCCAGCACACAGCUGGAUAAACACAUCAUGGGAUGGGUGGGCAACUGGCUCCCCAUUGAGCUGCUUCUGUUUAUAAUACAUACCAUUGAUGUCUUUGGGGCUCCAUUUGCAUGGAGAGAGGGAGGUUGCUCAUCAGAAAUCCAGAUGGUUUUCAGAGUUCAAUAAAUAUUGAUUUACCUAAGCUGACUGCAUGUACUUGGCAUUUGCAUCCUUACACUACAGCAGAGAUAAAGAACACUGGUGAUGUAAGGUGGACAGUUACAAGGCAGUGCUAAGCCAGUACAGGUUGCACUGAUGUAGGUCUGGUAUGCAAAUAAAACUUGAUCCUAUUCCUGUUUAACUACUUGUGCAUUCACACUGUAACUGCAUCUGCCAGUUUUCAGCACUGGCACAACAAACCACAAACACAUGGAGCAACCCCAAUUCUGGUAUCACUCUUUCUCUACCCGAACUAGGAGCACCAGGAUUGUACCACACAUACUCCUGUUUCUUUUGAAGUGCCAGGUUUGAGACAGCAGGUGAUAGUAGCUACAGCUCAGCACCAGCCACAGCUGUACAGCUUGGUUGCAGGUGAUAUUUGCUCCAGGGUGUGAAGAACGUAAUUAUGUGUUAUGUCUAACACAUGGGGGUUUCCCAUUCCAUCAGGCAACCCCACCUGCAUUGCUGCCUUAUCUUCAGUAACAAAAAGCUUUGACUAAAAAAGAAAAAUCCCCAUUAUUAAUAUGAAAAGAGAACCAUGCAUUUUCUCUACAGGGAAAAUUCUAGCAAAAAUGUCAUAAAAAAAGGCAACAUUCACCAUUUCCUUUAUGAAAAAAAAAAAAGGCAACAUUCACAGUUAAAAUAUUGUAAACAGCUUACUUCAUCUCUGAACACAAGAUGGACAUUCUGCAUUGCAAAACAGGCAAGGCAUGAACAAACAUCCACUGCUCUCAGAACCACCACCUGAGUUUUAUGGUCCCAUACAAGCUCCAAAAUUUAGAAUUCAAGGACUUGCAGGGAAUUUUGAUCCUGAAUACUAUGCAAAUGUGCUCUAGUCAUAUGGAUUCCUGAUUGCUAUCUUCCCUUUAAUUUUUUGUUCAAGAAGUAAUUAGUGAUAUUUUCCAUACAUUAUUAAAGCUGAUCAAGAACAAACUAUUGAUGGAUGAUAUUUUGUGGCAGACUAAAUAAUGACCAAAGCCUACUCAAAUUUCAGGUUGUUAUACAACUGGAGUAUGAGGAAGAAAGGCCCUAGGGGUUUUCAGAAACUGAGCUAUCACUGGCAGCUGAAAUAACACAGACCUAAAUGUACCAUUAGCUGCACAAAGGUGCUGAUUUGUUGCACAAACCCACACAGAAUUCUCAGAUAACCAACCCAAAACCAGAAGCAGGGGUGCUUAUCUUAUCUACCUGGCAUAAGAGAAGCUGAAAUUUGGAGGCAUGAACAGAAAUCAAAGAAGUUUUGUAAAGUUCACAAUUCACUGUACAUCUGAUUC